UACGUAGGGCGCAAGCGUUGUCCGGAAUUAUUGGGCGUAAAGAGCUCGUAGGCGGUCUGUUACGUCCGCUGUGAAAACCCAGGGCUUAACCCUGGGCUUGCAGUGGAUACGGGCAGACUAGAGGCAGGUAGGGGAGAAUGGAAUUCCCGGUGUAGCGGUGAAAUGCGCAGAUAUCGGGAGGAACACCGGUGGCGAAGGCGGUUCUCUGGGCCGGACCUGACGCUGAGGAGCGAAAGCGUGGGGAGCGAACAGG
RNAcentral lists this ribosomal RNA (253 nucleotides) under uncultured bacterium. RNAcentral describes it as "partial 16S ribosomal RNA". It matches the Rfam family "Bacterial small subunit ribosomal RNA", at positions 524 to 776 of the family's 1533-position model. The record is from RNAcentral.